GAUGAACGCUGGCGGCGUGCCUAAUACAUGCAAGUCGAGCGAACAGACGAGGAGCUUGCUCCUUUGACGUUAGCGGCGGACGGGUGAGUAACACGUAGGUAACCUACCUAUAAGACUGGGAUAACUUCGGGAAACCGGAGCUAAUACCGGAUAAUAUUUCGAACCGCAUGGUUCGAUAGUGAAAGAUGGCUUUGCUAUCACUUAUAGAUGGACCUGCGCCGUAUUAGCUAGUUGGUAAGGUAACGGCUUACCAAGGCAACGAUACGUAGCCGACCUGAGAGGGGGAACGCCCACACUGAAACUGAGCAACGGCCCAGAUCCUGAGGGAGGGCAGAGGUGGGAAACCUUCGGAAAUGGGGGAAAGCCUGAGGGAGAAACGCGGGGUGGGUAAUGAAGGUCUUCGGACGGUAAAACUUUGUAUUAGGGAAGAACAAACGUGUAAGUAACUGUGCACGUCUUGACGGUACCUAAUCAGAAAGCCACGGCUAACUACGUG
This 496-nucleotide ribosomal RNA is filed under the name uncultured bacterium. RNAcentral's name for it is "partial 16S ribosomal RNA". It matches the Rfam family "Bacterial small subunit ribosomal RNA", at positions 28 to 507 of the family's 1533-position model. The record is from RNAcentral.